This 432-nucleotide ribosomal RNA is filed under the name uncultured bacterium. RNAcentral's name for it is "partial 16S ribosomal RNA". It matches the Rfam family "Bacterial small subunit ribosomal RNA", at positions 29 to 506 of the family's 1533-position model. The record is from RNAcentral.
AACGAACGCUGGCGGCAUGCCUAACACAUGCAAGUCGAACGAGACCUUCGGGUCUAGUGGCGCACGGGUGCGUAACGCGUGGGAACCUGCCCUUAGGUUCGGAAUAACUCCCCGAAAGGGGUGCUAAUACCGGAUAAUGUCUUCGGACCAAAGAUUUAUCGCCUUUGGAUGGGCCCGCGUUGGAUUAGCUAGUUGGUAGGGUAAAAGCCUACCAAGGCGACGAUCCAUAGCUGGUCUGAGAGGAUGAUCAGCCACACUGGGACUGAGACACGGCCCAGACCCCUACGGGGGGGAGCAGUGGGGAAUAUUGGACAAGGGGCGAAAGCCGGAUCCAGCAAGGCCGGGUGAGUGAUGAAGGCCUUAGGGUUUAAAAGCUCUUUUACCCGGGAUGAUAAGGACAGUACCGGGAAAAUAAGCCCCGGCUACCUCCGG